CUAAACCAUGUUGAAGAAAGAGAUAAGAGAAAUGAUCUAGAGAAAAUGUGUCAAGUCCUGCAGCAUAAAAGCACUGAACCGACUUUGUCUCAUGGUGAAUCUGUACAGUUGGAUGACAGUGAUGGGCAGCAUGUCUCUAAUCAAGCUUUCCCCGUUAACACAAGACAGAGUUUGAAUGACUCAAUUCUGCUAUGUAAAAAUUGCCAUUGAUGAGGAAAUGGUGAAACUCAACAAUUGGAUGACAGUGAUGGGCAGCCUAUCUAAUCAAGCUUUCAACAUUGUUAACACAAGACAGAGUUUGUACGACUCAAUUCUGCUACAUACAAAUUGUCAUUGAUAAAGAGAGUAAGCCAUCUACAGAAAGGUUCCAACUCUAUUGAAGAACAAACCUUCACCACACCCUGAUUUGUUUUGUUGUGGAUAGAAUGUCCAAAUUCAAGUUAGGACAAAAAAGACUAGUAAACAAACGGUAUUAUAGAGAGGAGAGACUGGUGACGUCACGGAAAUCUGCCAAAAGUUCGUGGAGAACUGGUUGGCUUAUCUACCGUUGAUCCUUAAAUAUGCAGUGAAGGCGAAGAAGACAAUUGAUGCUGUGAGUCGAAGACCAGCUUAUUGCAAAGUGUUA
Molecule: long non-coding RNA, 625 nt
Organism: Daphnia pulicaria
Lineage: Eukaryota; Metazoa; Arthropoda; Branchiopoda; Diplostraca; Daphniidae
Exons: 4
Source: RefSeq, a predicted model, not a curated record